Molecule: transfer RNA, 85 nt
Filed under: Felis catus (domestic cat)
Lineage: Eukaryota; Metazoa; Chordata; Mammalia; Carnivora; Felidae
Rfam family: tRNA
About the family: Transfer RNA (tRNA) molecules are approximately 80 nucleotides in length.
Source: Rfam by way of RNAcentral
GCCUGGGUGGCUCAGUCGGUUGAGCGUCUGACUUCGGCUCGGGUCAUGAUCUCGUGGUCCGUGGGUUCAAGCCCCGUGUCAGGCU